RNAcentral lists this ribosomal RNA (492 nucleotides) under uncultured bacterium. Its description in RNAcentral is "partial 16S ribosomal RNA". It matches the Rfam family "Bacterial small subunit ribosomal RNA", at positions 29 to 507 of the family's 1533-position model. The record is from RNAcentral.
AGUGAACGCUGGCGGUAGGCCUAACACAUGCAAGUCGAACGGCAGCACAGUAAGAGCUUGCUCUUACGGGUGGCGAGUGGCGGACGGGUGAGGAAUACAUCGGAAUCUACUUUUUCGUGGGGGAUAACGUAGGGAAACUUACGCUAAUACCGCAUACGACCUACGGGUGAAAGCAGGGGAUCUUCGGACCUUGCGCGAUUGAAUGAGCCGAUGUCGGAUUAGCUAGUUGGCGGGGUAAGGGCCCACCAAGGCGACGAUCCGUAGCUGGUCUGAGAGGAUGAUCAGCCACACUGGAACUAAGACACGGUCCAGACUCCUACGGGAGGCAGCAGUGGGGAAUAUUGGACAAUGGGCGCAAGCCUGAUCCAGCCAUACCGCGUGGGUGAAGAAGGCCUUCGGGUUGUAAAGCCCUUUUGUUGGGAAAGAAAAGCAGCAGGUUAAUACCCCGCUGUUCUGACGGUACCCAAAGAAUAAGCACCGGCUAACUUCGUG